This 474-nucleotide ribosomal RNA is filed under the name uncultured organism. Its description in RNAcentral is "partial 16S ribosomal RNA". It matches the Rfam family "Bacterial small subunit ribosomal RNA", at positions 334 to 800 of the family's 1533-position model. The record is from RNAcentral.
CACUCCUACGGGAGGCAGCAGUGGGGAAUUUUGGACAAUGGGCGAAAGCCUGAUCCAGCAAUGCCGCGUGUGUGAAGAAGGCCUUCGGGUUGUAAAGCACUUUUGUCCGGAAAGAAAUCCUUGGCUCUAAUACAGUCGGGGGAUGACGGUACCGGAAGAAUAAGCACCGGCUAACUACGUGCCAGCAGCCGCGGUAAUACGUAGGGUGCGAGCGUUAAUCGGAAUUACUGGGCGUAAAGCGUGCGCAGGCGGUUUGCUAAGACCGAUGUGAAAUCCCCGGGCUCAACCUGGGAACUGCAUUGGUGACUGGCAGGCUAGAGUAUGGCAGAGGGGGGUAGAAUUCCACGUGUAGCAGUGAAAUGCGUAGAGAUGUGGAGGAAUACCGAUGGCGAAGGCAGCCCCCUGGGCCAAUACUGACGCUCAUGCACGAAAGCGUGGGGAGCAAACAGGAUUAGAAACCCAGUAGUCCCAUGA